This is a long non-coding RNA of Venturia canescens, 318 nucleotides long. RefSeq lists it as uncharacterized. Lineage: Eukaryota; Metazoa; Arthropoda; Insecta; Hymenoptera; Ichneumonidae. The record is from RefSeq and is a predicted model, not a curated record. The transcript has 2 exons.
GAUUUGUCAGUGCAGGCGCAAUCUCUCGGUUUCUUCGAUCACGUUGCUUGGGAUGAGAAACCCAGAGCGUGUUCGGCUCUCGUUACAGCUGCACUGUGGAUUUCGUCGCGAGUUAUCUCCUCCAGGUAUAUGGAGCGGUGUUCAAACUUUUAUAAAAUCCCCAGGGAGAGAUUAUAGCGAAGCGAUUAUGUACAGCACACACCGGUGAGCGAGAAGCUGUCUGCCCACACGUGUCUUCGACCUCGUGACUAUUUAUGCGUUAUACGGAUGUAGCAUAUGCAGGCAGAAUAAAAUACGUGCAAAAUGCAUGAAAACUCA